Molecule: long non-coding RNA, 1259 nt
Organism: Oncorhynchus keta (chum salmon)
Lineage: Eukaryota; Metazoa; Chordata; Actinopteri; Salmoniformes; Salmonidae
Exons: 3
Source: RefSeq, a predicted model, not a curated record
AGAAAUAACAUGAAUCAGAGACAGAUGUAGACAGGAAGUAAGGUGAAUCAGAGACAAAGACAGAUGUAGACAGGAAGUACGGUGAAUCAGAGACAAAGACAUAUGUAGGCAGGAAGUAAGGUGGAGAGACAGAUGUAGACAGGAAGUAAGGUGAAUCAAAGACAAAGACAGAUGUAGACAGGAAGUAAGGUGAAUCAGAGACAAAGACAGAUGUAGACAGGAAGUAAGGUGAAUCAGAGACAAAGACAGAUGUAGACAGGAAGUAAGGUGAAUCAGAGACAAAGACAGAUGUAGACAGGAAGUAAGGUGAAUCAGAGACAAAGACAGAUGUAGACAGGAAGUAAGGUGAAUCAGAGACAAAGACAGAUGUAGAGAGGUAGUAAGGUGAAUCAGAGACAAAGACAGAUGCAGACAGGAAGUAAGGUGAAUCAGAGACAAAGACAGAUGUAGAGAGGAAGUAAGGUGAAUCGGAGACAAAGACAGAUGCAGACAGGAAGUAAGGUGAAUCAGAGACAAAGACAGAUGCAGACAGGAAGUAAGGUGAAUCAGAGACAAAGACAGAUGUAGAGAGGAAGUAAGGUGAAUCAGAGACAAAGACAGAUGUAGACAGGAAGUAAGGUGAAUCAGAGACAAAGACAGAUGCAGACAGGAAGUAAGGUGAAUCAAAGACAAAGACAUAUGUAGACAGGAAGUAAGGUGAAUCAAAGACAAAGACAGAUGUAGACAGGAAGUAAGGUGAAUCAGAGACAAAGACAGAUGCAGACAGGAAGUAAGGUGAAUCAAAGACAAAGACAUAUGUAGACAGGAAGUAAGGUGAAUCAAAGACAAAGACAGAUGUAGACAGGAAGUAAGGUGAAUCAGAGACAAAGACAGAUGCAGACAGGAAGUAAGGUGAAUCAAAGACAAAGACAUAUGUAGACAGGAAGUAAGGUGAAUCAAAGACAAAGACAUAUGUAGACAGGAAGUAAGGUGAAUCAAAGACAAAGACAGAUGCAGACAGGAAGUAAGGUGAAUCAGAGACAAAGACAGAUGCAGACAGGAAGUAAGGUGAAUCAAAGACAAAGACAUAUGUAGACAGGAAGUAAGGUGAAUCAAAGACAAAGACAGAUGUAGACAGGAAGUAAGGUGAAUCAGAGACAAAGACAGAUGCAGACAGGAAGUAAGGUGAAUCAGAGACAAAGACAGAUGCAGACAGGAAGUAAGGUGAAUCAGAACAAUGGUGUGGAACAUACAAAUACUGAACACAUCAGUAUUCUGGG